Molecule: long non-coding RNA, 752 nt
Filed under: Mustela putorius furo (domestic ferret)
Lineage: Eukaryota; Metazoa; Chordata; Mammalia; Carnivora; Mustelidae
Description: lncRNA (ENSMPUG00000030875.1)
Source: RNAcentral
CGCUAUUUCAACACACACUCUGCCUGGUGGCUCAGGGGAUCCCACUCAGUGGUCUCUUGGGGCUUCUCUAUGCAUCAACUUUGCCCAGCUACCCCCGUGACCAUGUCCAGGACUACCAGGGGCCUUUCUUGAUGACUGACACUAUGUAUCUAAUAUAUUUAAGGGCUACUACCCAUAAUAUUUGACACUCACUGAGCAAAUACUCAGCAAAUAUUUCUUGGAUACACACGAAGUUCAAACUAUGGCUUCAAAUAUGAAGAGACACAGAAAGAUAGGCAUCAGAGGCAUGUAUCAUCCCAAGGUUUGCAAGCUAGUAGAAGUUAAGAUAAGAAGCCACCCUUGGCCUCCUCUAUACAGAUGCCUGACUGGCUCCAGGGAGCUCAGACCAGCUUGAAAACUCCAAGAGCUGUGGGACCCCAAAUAUGUAAAAAUCAUAGCUUGCAUCUUUUUCACAGCCUAAACAAUCUGUGAUGGGUAAACAAUUCCUGGUGGAUCCCAUGAGUCAGGGAGGAGGGGCUGGUGGCAUGGGUGGGGGAAGGGGAGGCAGCGAGUGAGAGGAGAGAGGGCACCCUUUCUGUGUGCCGGUCACCAGAUGGACUCUUAGUUCUGUUUCAAUGUCACAUAGUGACCUGGACUCUUGGUGUCAGAACCGUGUCUUCUAUUUCUGCCACAACCCCAGGAAUGAGCAGAGGACUAAUCAAGUGCUUCUCAAAUAUGACAUAGCCAAUGUCCUCCUUUGAUUCUGAGCCAGC